RNAcentral lists this ribosomal RNA (253 nucleotides) under uncultured bacterium. RNAcentral's name for it is "partial 16S ribosomal RNA". It matches the Rfam family "Bacterial small subunit ribosomal RNA", at positions 524 to 776 of the family's 1533-position model. The record is from RNAcentral.
UACGUAGGGGGCAAGCGUUGUCCGGAUUUAUUGGGCGUAAAGAGCGUGUAGGCGGUUCGGUAGGUCCGUUGUGAAAACUCGAGGCUCAACCUCGAGACGCCGAUGGAAACCAUCGAACUAGAGUCCGGAAGAGGAGAGUGGAAUUCCUGGUGUAGCGGUGAAAUGCGCAGAUAUCAGGAAGAACACCGGUGGCGAAGGCGGGUCUCUGGGCAGUAACUGACGCUGAGGAGCGAAAGCGUGGGGAGCGAACAGG